Molecule: ribosomal RNA, 460 nt
Filed under: uncultured bacterium
Lineage: Bacteria
Description: partial 16S ribosomal RNA
Rfam family: Bacterial small subunit ribosomal RNA
Source: RNAcentral
CCUACGGGAGGCAGCAGUGAGGAAUAUUGGUCAAUGGACGAGAGUCUGAACCAGCCAAGUAGCGUGAAGGAUGAAUGCUCUAUGGGUUGUAAACUUCUUUUAUAUGGGAAUAAAAUGUUCCACGUGUGGGUUUUUGUAUGUACCAUAUGAAUAAGGAUCGGCUAACUCCGUGCCAGCAGCCGCGGUAAUACGGAGGAUUCGAGCGUUAUCCGGAUUUAUUGGGUUUAAAGGGAGCGUAGGUGGAUUAUUAAGUCAGCGGUGAAAGUUUGUGGCUCAACCAUAAAAUUGCAGUUGAAACUGGUUGACUUGAGUAUAUUAGAGGUAGGCGGAAUGCGUGGUGUAGCGGUGAAAUGCUUAGAUAUCACGAAGAACUCCGAUUGCGAAGGCAGUUCACUAAACUACAACUGACACUGAGGCACGAAAGUGUGGGUAUCAAACAGGAUUAGAUACCCCUGUAGUC